Molecule: ribosomal RNA, 389 nt
Filed under: uncultured bacterium
Lineage: Bacteria
Description: bacterial SSU rRNA
Rfam family: Bacterial small subunit ribosomal RNA
Source: RNAcentral
GACGAACGCUGGCGGCGUGCUUAACACAUGCAAGUCGAGCGGUAAGGCCCUUUCGGGGGUACACGAGCGGCGAACGGGUGAGUAACACGUGGGUGACCCUGCCCUCAGCUCUGGGAUAAGCCUGGGAAACCGGGUCUAAUACCGGAUAUGACUCCAUGACGCAUGUUGUGGGGUGGAAAGCCUUGUGCGGCUGAGGAUGGGCCCGCGGCCUAUCAGCUUGUUGGUGGGGUGAUGGCCUACCAAGGCGACGACGGGUAGCCGGCCUGAGAGGGCGACCGGCCACACUGGGACUGAGACACGGCCCAGACUCCUACGGGAGGCAGCAGUGGGGAAUCUUGCGCAAUGGGCGAAAGCCUGACGCAGCGACGCCGCGUGAGGGAUGACGGCCU